GACGAACGCUGGCGGCGUGCUUAACACAUGCAAGUCGAGCGGUAAGGCCCUUUCGGGGGUACACGAGCGGCGAACGGGUGAGUAACACGUGGGUGACCUGCCCUCAGCUCUGGGAUAAGCCUGGGAAACCGGGUCUAAUACCGGAUAUGACUCCAUGACGCAUGCUGUGGGGUGGAAAGCCUUGUGCGGCUGAGGAUGGGCCCGCGGCCUAUCAGCUUGUUGGUGGGGUGANGGCCUACCAAGGCGACGACGGGUAGCCGGCCUGAGAGGGCGACCGGCCACACUGGGACUGAGACACGGCCCAGACUCCUACGGGAGGCAGCAGUGGGGAAUCUUGCGCAAUGGGCGAAAGCCUGACGCAGCGACGCCGCGUGAGGGAUGACGGCCU
This 388-nucleotide ribosomal RNA is filed under the name uncultured bacterium. RNAcentral describes it as "bacterial SSU rRNA". It matches the Rfam family "Bacterial small subunit ribosomal RNA", at positions 28 to 417 of the family's 1533-position model. The record is from RNAcentral.